RNAcentral lists this ribosomal RNA (973 nucleotides) under Paenibacillus sp. EKM10P. RNAcentral describes it as "partial 23S ribosomal RNA". It matches the Rfam family "Bacterial large subunit ribosomal RNA", at positions 1 to 965 of the family's 2925-position model. The record is from RNAcentral. Lineage: Bacteria; Bacillati; Bacillota; Bacilli; Caryophanales; Paenibacillaceae.
AGGUUAAGCUACAAAGAGCACACGGAGGAUGCCUAGGCGCCAGGAGCCGACGAAGGACGUGGCGAACAACGAUAAGGCCUCGGGGAGCUGUAAGCAAGCUUUGAUCCGGGGAUGUCCGAAUGGGGAAACCCGGCUGUCUUCAUCGACAGUCACUACUCACUGAAUUCAUAGGUGAGUGAGAGGCAGACCAGGGGAACUGAAACAUCUAAGUACCCUGAGGAAGAGAAAACAAUAGUGAUUCCGUCAGUAGCGGCGAGCGAACGCGGAUUAGCCCAAACCAAGGAGCUUGCUCCUUGGGGUUGUGGGACGUCUCACAUGGAGUUACAAAGGAACCGGUUAGAUGAAGAGGUCUGGAAAGGCCCGCCAGAGAAGGUAAAAGCCCUGUAGUUCAAAACUUGUUCCCUCCGAGACGGAUCCCGAGUAGUGCGGGGCACGUGAAACCCCGUAUGAAUCCGGCAGGACCAUCUGCCAAGGCUAAAUACUCCCUGGCGACCGAUAGUGAAGCAGUACCGUGAGGGAAAGGUGAAAAGCACCCCGGAAGGGGAGUGAAAUAGAUCCUGAAACCGUGUGCUUACAAGAAGUCAGAGCCCGAUCUAUGGGUGAUGGCGUGCCUUUUGUAGAAUGAACCGGCGAGUUACGUUCCCGUGCAAGGUUAAGGUGAAGAGCUGAAGCCGCAGCGAAAGCGAGUCUGAAUAGGGCGAAUGAGUACGUGGACGUAGACCCGAAACCGGGUGAUCUACCCCUGUCCAGGGUGAAGGUGCGGUAACACGCACUGGAGGCCCGAACCCACGCAUGUUGAAAAAUGCGGGGAUGAGGUGGGGGUAGCGGAGAAAUUCCAAUCGAACCCGGAGAUAGCUGGUUCUCCCCGAAAUAGCUUUAGGGCUAGCCUCGGAAAAAAGAAUCGUGGAGGUAGAGCACUGAUUGGGUGCGGGGCCCGCAAGGGUUACCAAGCUCAGUCAAACUCCGAAUGCCA